RNAcentral lists this long non-coding RNA (298 nucleotides) under Struthio camelus australis. RNAcentral's name for it is "lncRNA (ENSSCUG00000006718.1)". The record is from RNAcentral. Lineage: Eukaryota; Metazoa; Chordata; Aves; Struthioniformes; Struthionidae.
UGAAGCUGAGCCUGGCACAGCACGAACUUCUUCUGCCAGCAGGACAUCCACAGUGUGCUGCCAGGAUUUAGAGCUAGUCACCUCUUGCAGAGCCCUCGAGGGGACAGCACUGGAGACCGUUCCUACCAGUGAUGUGACCAUACUUGGGAUGCUACGAAGACAUGCAUCCCUAAGAAGUCUUCUAGAUCCAGGCUGUCGUUGGUUUGUGGAGUACGACCUAUGCACAUUCGUUUAUAGCUGCUCAGUGUCUCAGCUUCCUAAGAAGUAGAAUCUGUCCGUUUUUAUACCAUGGUGAGGU